UACGAAGGGGGCUAGCGUUGCUCGGAAUUACUGGGCGUAAAGGGCGCGUAGGCGGACGAUUAAGUCGGGGGUGAAAGCCCAGGGCUCAACCCUGGAAAUGCCUUCGAUACUGGUCGUCUUGAGUACGGGAGAGGUGUGUGGAACUCCGAGUGUAGAGGUGAAAUUCGUAGAUAUUCGGAAGAACACCAGUGGCGAAGGCGACACACUGGCCCGUUACUGACGCUGAGGCGCGAAAGCGUGGGGAGCAAACAGG
RNAcentral lists this ribosomal RNA (253 nucleotides) under uncultured bacterium. Its description in RNAcentral is "partial 16S ribosomal RNA". It matches the Rfam family "Bacterial small subunit ribosomal RNA", at positions 524 to 776 of the family's 1533-position model. The record is from RNAcentral.